RNAcentral lists this ribosomal RNA (427 nucleotides) under uncultured bacterium. RNAcentral's name for it is "bacterial SSU rRNA". It matches the Rfam family "Bacterial small subunit ribosomal RNA", at positions 354 to 796 of the family's 1533-position model. The record is from RNAcentral.
GUAAGGAAUCUUCCACAAUGGACGAAAGUCUGAUGGAGCAACUCCGCGUGCAGGAUGAAGGCCUUCGGGUUGUAAACUGCUUUUAUGAGUGAAGAAUAUGACGGUAACUCAUGAAUAAGGGUCGGCUAACUACGUGCCAGCAGCCGCGGUCAUACGUAGGACCCAAGCGUUAUCCGGAGUGACUGGGCGUAAAGAGUUGCGUAGGUGGUUCGUAAAGUGAAUAGUGAAAUCUGGAGGCUCAACCUUACAGGCUAUUAUUCAAACUCACGAACUCGAGAAUAGCAGAGGUAACUGGAAUUUCUUGUGUAGGAGUGAAAUCCGUAGAUAUAAGAAGGAACACCAAUGGCGUAGGCAGGUUACUGGGCUAUUUCUGACACUAAGGCACGAAAGCGUGGGGAGCGAACCGGAUUAGAAACCCUAGUAGUCC